RNAcentral lists this transfer RNA (73 nucleotides) under marine bacterium AO1-C. It matches the Rfam family "tRNA". From Rfam's summary of the family: Transfer RNA (tRNA) molecules are approximately 80 nucleotides in length. Their secondary structure includes four short double-helical elements and three loops (D, anti-codon, and T loops). Further hydrogen bonds mediate the characteristic L-shaped molecular structure. tRNAs have two regions of fundamental functional importance: the anti-codon, which is responsible for specific mRNA codon recognition, and the 3' end, to which the tRNAs corresponding amino acid is attached (by aminoacyl-tRNA synthetases). tRNAs cope with the degeneracy of the genetic code in two manners: having more than one tRNA (with a specific anti-codon) for a particular amino acid; and 'wobble' base-pairing, i.e. permitting non-standard base-pairing at the 3rd anti-codon position. Lineage: Bacteria; Pseudomonadati; Bacteroidota; Cytophagia; Cytophagales; Cytophagaceae. The record is from Rfam by way of RNAcentral. RNAcentral also lists the same sequence under 1 other name.
GCCUCCUUAGCUCAGUUGGUAGAGCAACUGAUUUGUAAUCAGUUGGUCGCUGGUUCGAGUCCGGCAGGAGGCU